RNAcentral lists this non-coding RNA (24 nucleotides) under Arabidopsis thaliana (thale cress). The record is from RNAcentral. Lineage: Eukaryota; Viridiplantae; Streptophyta; Magnoliopsida; Brassicales; Brassicaceae.
UAAAACCCUUUAAAAAUCCCUUGU